UACAGAGGUCCCGAGCGUUGUUCGGAUUCACUGGGCGUAAAGGGUGCGUAGGUGGUGAGGUAAGUCGGAUGUGAAAUCUCCAGGCUCAACUUGGAGGCUGCUCCCGAAACUGCCGCGCUAGAGUGCGAGAGAGGCCAGUGGAAUUGCAGGUGUAGCGGUGAAAUGCGUAGAUAUCUGCAGGAACACCCGUGGCGAAGGCGGCUGGCUGGAUCGCAACUGACGCUGAGGAACGAAAGCUAGGGGAGCAAACAGG
This 253-nucleotide ribosomal RNA is filed under the name uncultured bacterium. Its description in RNAcentral is "partial 16S ribosomal RNA". It matches the Rfam family "Bacterial small subunit ribosomal RNA", at positions 524 to 776 of the family's 1533-position model. The record is from RNAcentral.